RNA transcript from Teleopsis dalmanni, 1244 nucleotides. RefSeq lists it as uncharacterized. The record is from RefSeq and is a predicted model, not a curated record. NCBI's taxonomy places the organism in Eukaryota, Metazoa, Arthropoda, Insecta, Diptera, Diopsidae. The transcript has 4 exons.
UUGGGAAAAUUUAAAAUUAUUCAUAUUCAAACAGUUUUUGGCAAAUUAUUGACUCAAAUUUAAUGAAGGUUAGAUAAACUCUUAAAAAACAAUGGAUUUACGAAGGUUUGGCAACGGAGGUGGAGAUGCCGAUGGAUCAAAUUUUAUGAUUCAUCGUACCCCAAAUUAUUAUAACCUCCCGCUUCUAGACAGGUAUGCCAACAUUGUUUUCCCUAAUACACACGCACAAUUCCAACUAAGAUUUGAAAAUGACAUCUAUAGAUGUCAUUUCCAAUUGCGUCAGCAAAUCGGUAUUCCACUUUCCGCAUUUGAAGUGGCUCCGUCUGCAAAUAUAGGUCGAAGUCAAACAUUUGUGGCUCUAGGCUUUAAAGAGGAGUAUAGUCGAAUGCAUCGAGUGAAACAAUUAAAAUUUCAAAGGAAGUUAGAUAUACUUGUUCAGAGUCGUUAUAAGCAAAGAAAGAAUGACCUUUUUUUAGAAAUAUACGGCAUUGGACAAGUAGAACCCCACUAACUAAUAUUGUUCACCCGAGUCAGCGGACCGCUGCAUUCAAUGGAGAAAUUUUAUAAGAAUUUAAUGAAAUGCCACAAAUUUAAUGGGUAAAAAUCACUUAUCUACUAGUGUAUUUAUUAAGAUAUGUAAAAAAUUAUUUAUGUGAUUUUCCGAGGCCGCGCCAAAUAAUCUUUUUCUCCAUUGGACUUUACCAACAUAUGCAGCAUACAAAAAGUACAAUAGAUACUCAAUUUUUGUUCCUGUUAGCGUAAUACUUUACAAUCUUAACAACACCAAAUAACAUAGAGUCACGAUUUGUGAAAAUUAAUGGAAUUAUUGAACGCUAAACAUGAGCUACAAAUUUAGAUACGUUGUCACUUAACACUAGAAGAACAUCUUAACUGGAAAGACCACCUUUAUCGUGUAAUUCUGCUACUACAAGAAAGGUCUGAAUAUUUGGUCAUAACUUUUUUAAUAUAAAGUUAACAAAUGAAUUCUAAUCCUAAAAACUAUAUGUGUGAAUAUCCAAAGAUAUAAAUGAAAACAUAACUGGACUGAGUUAACAAAAAAUUGAACAGGGAAACACAUCUAAGUGCAACUUUAGUGAUAAAAUCCAGAAGUAAACCUAUAAAAACUAAUGUUAUAUAGGAGCUGAGUUAAAUGAAAAUCGAGUAACUCUAGAAUUUAUCCUAUCGUAGUUAUAGUUUGUAAUAAUUAAUAUGCAUUAACAAUUGCAUUUUUUAAAAAACGUAAA